ACAGGGAGGGACGGUGAACUGCCUACCUCCAGUCUACAUGGGCAUAGUUCUGGGGGCUGUUGGGCCACACUGCAGAUGCGGAUCAGGCAGUGAAGGGUCAUUCUGCCCCCAGCCUGAAGCUCCUGUAGUGACUGCUCGCUCAGCUCCACAGAGGCCAGACUGCAGCCACACGCAGAGCAGAAGCAGGAUUGCCACAUCCCCCACCCCCAUAUCAAGCUAAUGUGCCGAGUUGCCGUCAACGUAGGAUGGACCUGUUUCACCAUCAGUACUAGUUCCUAGAUUUCCUCUUCCUUUCUGCUCACUUGGUGGUAGCUAAGAGUGACUGGCAAGUUAUUGCCAUGUAAGAACUGUACAUGUGGCCGGGCGCGGUGGCUCACGCCUGUAAUCCCAGCACUUUGGGAGGCAGAGGCGGGUGGAUCACAAGGUCAGGAGAUCGAGACCAUCCUGGCUAACACGGUGAAACCCCGUCUCUACUAAAAAUACAAAAAAUUAGCCGGGCGUGGUGGCGGGCGCCUGUAGUCCCAGCUACUUGGGAGGCUGAGGCAGGAGAAUGGCGUGAAACCGGGAGGCGGAGCUUGCAGUGAGCCGCGAUCGCGACACUGCACUCCAGCCUGGGUGACAGAGAGAGACUCCGUCUCAAAAAAAAAAAAAAAAAAAAAAGAA
Long non-coding RNA from Pan troglodytes (chimpanzee), 663 nucleotides. RefSeq lists it as uncharacterized. The transcript is spliced from 3 exons. NCBI's taxonomy places the organism in Eukaryota, Metazoa, Chordata, Mammalia, Primates, Hominidae. The record is from RefSeq and is a predicted model, not a curated record.